RNAcentral lists this ribosomal RNA (497 nucleotides) under uncultured bacterium. RNAcentral's name for it is "partial 16S ribosomal RNA". It matches the Rfam family "Bacterial small subunit ribosomal RNA", at positions 28 to 507 of the family's 1533-position model. The record is from RNAcentral.
GAUGAACGCUGGCGGCGUGCCUAAUACAUGCAAGUAGAGCGAACAGACGAGGAGCUUGCUCCUUCGACGUUAGCGGCGGACGGGUGAGUAACACGUAGGUAACCUACCUAUAAGACUGGGAUAACUUCGGGAAACCGGAGCUAAUACCGGAUAAUAUUUCGAACCGCAUGGUUCGAUAGUGAAAGAUGGCUUUGCUAUCACUUAUAGAUGGACCUGCGCCGUAUUAGCUAGUUGGUAAGGUAACGGCUUACCAAGGCAACGAUACGUAGCCGACCUGAGAGGGUGAUCGGCCACACUGGAACUGAGACACGGUCCAGACUCCUACGGGAGGCAGCAGUAGGGAAUCUUCCGCAAUGGGCGAAAGCCUGACGGAGCAACGCCGCGUGAGUGAUGAAGGUCUUCGGAUCGUAAAACUCUGUUAUUAGGGAAGAACAAACGUGUAAGUAACUGUGCACGUCUUGACGGUACCUAAUCAGAAAGCCACGGCUAACUACGUG